RNAcentral lists this ribosomal RNA (439 nucleotides) under uncultured bacterium. RNAcentral's name for it is "partial 16S ribosomal RNA". It matches the Rfam family "Bacterial small subunit ribosomal RNA", at positions 339 to 795 of the family's 1533-position model. The record is from RNAcentral.
CUACGGGGGGCAGCAGUGGGGAAUAUUGCACAAUGGAGGAAACUCUGAUGCAGCAACGCCGCGUGGAGGAUGACACUUUUCGGAGCGUAAACUCCUUUUAUAUAGGAAGAAGAUGACGGUACUAUAUGAAUAAGCGCCGGCUAACUCCGUGCCAGCAGCCGCGGUAAUACGGAGGGCGCAAGCGUUACUCGGAAUCACUGGGCGUAAAGAGCGUGUAGGCGGGUUAAUAAGUCAGAAGUGAAAUCCUAUGGCUCAACCAUAGAACUGCUUUUGAAACUGUUAACCUAGAGUGUGGGAGAGGUAGAUGGAAUUUCUGGUGUAGGGGUAAAAUCCGUAGAGAUCAGAAGGAAUACCGAUUGCGAAGGCGAUCUACUGGAACAUAACUGACGCUAAGGCGUGAAAGCGUGGGGAGCAAACAGGAUUAGAUACCCCAGUAGUC